Molecule: transfer RNA, 72 nt
Filed under: Phytophthora infestans T30-4
Lineage: Eukaryota; Oomycota; Peronosporomycetes; Peronosporales; Peronosporaceae
Rfam family: tRNA
About the family: Transfer RNA (tRNA) molecules are approximately 80 nucleotides in length. Their secondary structure includes four short double-helical elements and three loops (D, anti-codon, and T loops).
Source: Rfam by way of RNAcentral
GGCCUCGUGGUCUAGUGGUAUGAUUCUCGCUUCGGGUGCGAGAGAUCCCGGGUUCGAUUCCCGGUGAGGCCC